This 372-nucleotide ribosomal RNA is filed under the name uncultured organism. Its description in RNAcentral is "bacterial SSU rRNA". It matches the Rfam family "Bacterial small subunit ribosomal RNA", at positions 526 to 896 of the family's 1533-position model. The record is from RNAcentral.
CAGAGGGUGCGAGCGUUGUCCGGAAUCACUGGGCGUAAAGGGCGCGUAGGCGGCCCGAUAAGUAGGGGGUGAAAUCUUGCGGCUUAACCGCAAGGCUGCCUUCUAAACUGUCGGGCUGGAGCACGGUAGAGGCAGAUGGAAUUCCCGGUGUAGCGGUGGAAUGCGUAGAGAUCGGGAAGAACACCAGUGGCGAAGGCGGUCUGCUGGGCCGUUGCUGACGCUGAGGCGCGACAGCGUGGGGAGCAAACAGGAUUAGAUACCCUGGUAGUCCACGCCGUAAACGAUGGGCACUAGGCGUCGGGGGGAGCGACCCUCCCGGUGCCGUCGCUAACGCAGUAAGUGCCCCGCCUGGGGAGUACGGCCGCAAGGCUG